GCAUAUCUAGUCCUGCAUACCGAAGCCGAUUGUAUAUAGGGGAUCACAAAAUCUCUAUGUUAGGCAUCCGUUUAAGCUUCUUUCUAGGACCGACAUUAGCACUCCUUCCAACUAGUCAUCUUAUUAGCAUUAUUUCUGAUGGCGAAUAUAUCUUUUAAUAAUAGAUAUUGUACUGUAAUUAUUUUCUAGAAUUUAUAAGACCUAUUUACUAUGAAUUUUGACAAAUAUUGCAUAGCAUGAGGAUUUCAGGGCUGAUUAUAAUCUGGACCAAUACCUAUGGGAACCUGAAUUCACACUUGCAGGCAGAAAAUACAAAUGUCCAGACUUGGAGGAAAAUAUAGACCUGAGUUACCAAAGUUUUUUUUGUCGUGCCUAAUAAAAAUUAGAGAAUUCAAUGCUAAUAAAGAUAACCAUUUGUCUCAAUUUCCUAUCACGGUACCUAGCAGGAAAGAUCAAGACUUUUGAUGGCAGAGGCCACGUUGCAAAGUUGUGAUUGUGUUUCUUCCUCUGUUCACUGCAGCACUCAUGGCGAUUUCCAGAGUGGACGAUUAUUGGCAUCAUUGGCAAGACAUAUUUGCAGGAGGUUUCCUAGGAUUGGUCAUAGCUUCAUUUUGUUACCUGCAAUUUUUCCCUCCCCAAUACGACCUACAAGGUUGGUUGCCCCAUGCAUACUUACAGGUAGUGUCCGAUUGUCUGAUGCCAGAGACAAUGUGCCAUUGUAGCCAUUUGCUAUUAGCUCCUUGCGCAUGAGGCCUUCUGAGGUUGAAAGUGUAGCUGUUGCAUUGGACAUCAGGAUGGGAGCUACGCGAGAAAC
This is a long non-coding RNA of Zingiber officinale, 814 nucleotides long. RefSeq lists it as uncharacterized. The transcript has 3 exons. The record is from RefSeq and is a predicted model, not a curated record. NCBI's taxonomy places the organism in Eukaryota, Viridiplantae, Streptophyta, Magnoliopsida, Zingiberales, Zingiberaceae.